Dasypus novemcinctus (nine-banded armadillo) is the source of this 2763-nucleotide long non-coding RNA. The record is from Ensembl. NCBI's taxonomy places the organism in Eukaryota, Metazoa, Chordata, Mammalia, Cingulata, Dasypodidae.
AUGAACACUAAAACUGGAAUUUUAUAUAAUUUUCAAGUGCCAUUGAAAUAUUCUUCUUUAUGGUUUUUUUUUUUUCAAUCAUUAAAACAUCUAAAAAACCAUUCUUGGCUCAUGGCCCAUCCAAGAACAGGUGGUAGGCUGAAUUUGGCCACGGGCCACGGUUUGCCAACUCCUGCCCUUGAGCACCCAGUGCUUGUGUGGUGGUUUGGAGCCAGCAUCUGCUCCUUUGGAAGGUACUUUUUCUCCUGCUUUCAGGAGGAGACUGAAACUUGGGUGAGCAAACGACCUAACCUCAGACAACCAGCUACCAAGUGGAAGAAGCAGGAUUUGAACUGGCCCCGAAGUCCACCUAGGAUGGACCAGAGACACAUACUCAGCAUGUAAGUAAUGAGUGAAUGUACCGACCAGCAACUUGUCUCCUGGGUCAUCUCAUCUCUAUUCAAUCCUUCUUCCCAGGGAAGACUUAACUUACCGUCUGGGGGGGUGGGGGGUGGCAUGCGGUGGCACAGGGUGGGGGCCAUUAUCAAGAGUUCUGGGAAGAAGGGUCCCGCCGCUGGCCCUCCAAAGGAUCUGGCCAAUGUCUCCCAGACCAGGGUGCCCUCAUCUCGGUCUCACAAGGGUCCCUCACACAGUCAGGGAGUCUCAAGAGCCUUUCCAGUUCAAAGCCAAACCUCGCACUCUCCUUACGCCCCCUCCCUACCCUCUGCUGCAGACAGAAGCUGGGAGGUUCCAGGUCUCCCUGCAGACAGCCGGCUUGGCUGAGAGGCACCUGCAGCUUUCCCUCCUCCCAACCUGCUGCUGUGCCACCGGGCAGCUGCUACCAGGCCCAGCUACAGCUCGGUAGCCACCCUGGGGCCCCACCCCCUCUGUGUGUGUGUGCGCGCGCACGUGCAUGGACCUGCAGCCGUGGUGGCCUAACCUUGGUCUGUUCCCGCCCCCUGGAGAUGGGAAAGUGCCCACUCAGCAGCUGAUGCCUGCAGCGUGAAGGCAAAGGGUCCAGAGUGGGUUGAGAAGGGGUCACAGCGGGACACAGGGCCAGGGAAGAGAAAUGUGACCUGUUCCCAAAGAGCUGAAGCUAAUCAGGUGCCUCGGGGACGAGAGAGCGCAGAACAGGGACUGCAAUUCAGAGGGUCCUCUGGCUCUGGGGGAGGGAGGCCUGCUUGAGGCCCCUUGGAGCAGGAGGCUGGUGAUCUCCAGCCCCCGGUGCCCGCCUUAGUCACGCUCUGGAAACUAGAGGACAGAGCCCACCACGGCACGAUGGCAUGAUUCCUGGUCCCCUCCUGGCAGGUGCCUCCCCCCUCCCCGGUUCUCUUUCACACACCCCGGAAGAGCAGGACGAGGCCCGAGCCUAACAUGGGAGGAAAGCCUGCUUCCAUCUCUGCCCCUGGGCUGGGCACUGUGCAGUCACCAGGAAGCCCCUCUGGAAUAACCACCAUCUCUACGGCCGCUGGUUAUUCAGCAUCUGCCACGUGCCAGAGCUGGUAUGCGGUGGAGCUGGAUUCCCACGAGACCCUAGGUUCUCCCUCCCCUUGAGGUCUCAGGCUCAGUUAAGGAAGUCAAGAGGGAAUCAUGGGAGGGAGUAGACGGAGGUGUUGCUGAGAAAGUCCCAAACAGGGUGGGCCCCAAAAGGUGAGGCCCAGCAGGGAGGAGAUGGGAGGAGCCGAGCCAGGCUCUGCCUACGCUGUGGGGCCCAUUUCACGGGAGGCAGGAAGGCCCAGCAGGCAGAGGACCAAGGCUGGGUCUGUGGGGGGAUGAACGCAGCCCCUCAGGCCCGAGGAGGGGCUGUGCUAAGACAGGCCGAGCCGCCCCAUGAGAUCUCAGCCCAAACCCGCUUGUUUCUCAGCGCUGGGGCCCGCUCCCCUGGGGCCCACGGAGAAGCCUGGCUCUGCCUGGCACAGGACUAACGGGAGUCUCAUCACUCAGAGUGCCUCUUCCCCCCUUCAUCCCUCCCCCCCCACCCCCAGGACUGAUGCGGAACCAGAGAACCUCAGGGGGGCUGGGACCUCCCUGAUGGAGCCAGACGGAGAGCAGGGGCUUGGGGUCAGGUGGAGGUGGGCUGGACCUCGCCUCCGUGUGACCUUGGGAGAGCUGGUCUCCCAGGCUCAGUUCCCUCGCCUGUCAAGUGAGGAUGAUGAUAUAGCCUUCAUAUGGUUGUUGUGACACGGUGCUUAGCACACAGUAGGUUUUCAAUGAAUGCACUGAGGCAUGCAGAGAGCAGAUACAACUUAUCAAAGUGUGCCUGGUUUUUGGAAACCACAAUAAAUUUGGGAAGAAUGAAGGCUCCAUUCUCCUGGCAAGGUGUGGGCAGCCAGCAGGGAGGGUCCUAGGAACCUAAGGGUCAGUGGGGUCCCGACACACCCAGGGUACAGAGGUGAGGGGGUAUCAGGACCCCACAAGCCCAUCAGCUGCACAGAAGGUGGCUGGCCCGGCGGUAACACUGAGACAGUAGCUUUGCUGAGGCAAGGUGACCCUCUCCCCAGAACGCCUUCGGGGUGCCAAAACCCCAACCCCGCAGCCAGUGUUGCCUUCCCCGGCCUUGUCCAGAGCCAGGCUGAAAGCAGGUGAUGCCUGAGGACAUGCAGCUAGCCAUGUCCUGAGAGAAGAUGCUGCUCUCAGGCCAGUGUCCAGGAAUGUGGCGUUUGCCUGUGCAGUGGGGGUCCACGCCAACAUGCCAAAUCUCCCAGGGUGUUGACACAGUGGGGGUAAGCCCCUGGUGUCAGUGAGUCACCCGGCCCAGGCGGGUGGGGAUGUGCGGACGGCAGC